Molecule: ribosomal RNA, 300 nt
Filed under: Clostridium botulinum C/D str. DC5
Lineage: Bacteria; Bacillati; Bacillota; Clostridia; Eubacteriales; Clostridiaceae
Description: partial 23S ribosomal RNA
Rfam family: Bacterial large subunit ribosomal RNA
Source: RNAcentral
GUUCGGUCCCUAUCCGCCGUGGGCGUAGGAAAUUUGAGAGGAGCUGUCCUUAGUACGAGAGGACCGGGAUGGACCAACCUCUGGUGCACCAGUUGUUCCGCCAGGAGCACAGCUGGGUAGCUAUGUUGGGAAGGGAUAAACGCUGAAAGCAUCUAAGCGUGAAGCCCACCUCAAGAUUAGAUUUCCCAUAGCGUAAGCUAGUAAGACCCCUGAAAGACUAUCAGGUUGAUAGGUUGGAGGUGUAAGUACAGUAAUGUAUUCAGCUGACCAAUACUAAUAGGUCGAGGGCUUGAUCAAAUU